GCCCUUCAGAGCCCUGCCUGCACCCUGUCUCUUUGGGGUGCAGCUACAAGGCCACAGGGCCUGGCCGCCAGGUGGUGGCUUUGAUCUGUCUGCUCUGCGUGGACUGCGCAGGGGCAGGGCUGCACUCCAGAGCAACCCAGAGCCUCCAGCCAGAGGCCUCUGCUGCGGAGGACAGAGGAGCCAGGCACCCGCCGCGGGAGAAGCAGGUGCCAGCCAUGCCACUGAGCAGAGCGACGGAGAUGAGGGCAGGGAGCGCAGACAGGGUGUGAGUGCAGAGGCCACACUGGACCCGCGCCUGCCGAGCCCACUGUCUCUGUGUGUGGGACACAGAGCAGUGGCUACGAGGACCAGACGUGUUUUGCAGACCGCUGGCUGGUCCCUAACGCCCUUGUGUGUCCAUCAUCCACGCUCUUCUUCCUUUCGCGGGGGGCGUGUUCUCGGGGAACGCCCACGCAGGUGAGGAGCCAGCGCUGGCCGAGCGGACGCCCACAGCCUGUGCCCACUCCCUCCCUCCGGGACCUUCUGCCCUGGAUCUUCACCCGCUUGGAUCCUGGAUCCCGCUUCCCACCGUUUUGCAGAGCCCCGAGCUGGGGGGCUUUUCAGGUUUGUCCUCCAGAGCCCCGCCUUCCCUGUGGGGUGGGUGGGCGCUGGGGCUUUGGGGUGGGUCAUCGCCCACCUGCCCCUGUCUGUCCACCCUGCCUGCCCUGCUGCAACCUCUGGGGGCCAGAAGGACGAGAGGCGGGCAGG
Molecule: long non-coding RNA, 747 nt
Organism: Diceros bicornis minor
Lineage: Eukaryota; Metazoa; Chordata; Mammalia; Perissodactyla; Rhinocerotidae
Exons: 3
Source: RefSeq, a predicted model, not a curated record